Long non-coding RNA from Gallus gallus (chicken), 2466 nucleotides. Lineage: Eukaryota; Metazoa; Chordata; Aves; Galliformes; Phasianidae. The record is from Ensembl.
CCCAUACCCCAUACCCCAUAUCCCAUACCCUAUAUCCCAUACCCCACCCCCCACCCCCGCACCCCCCCGCGCCCCACCCGUGUAGGAUCGCGGCUCCCCUCUCCGGUUUCUCCCCUUUCUGAUUCAGCGCCGCACUUCGCAACUUCCGCCCGGCCGAUGGGGCCGCCCCGACCCCGCCCUAUAAACACCGACCCCGCCCUAUAAACACCGCCCCGGCCCCGUCAAUAGGGGCCCGGCCCUAUAAACACCGACCCGACCCUAUAAAUACGGAGCGAACCCCAUCGGGACAGAGCACUGCGGGGCCGCUCCAGUGCGACCCCAUCAAUCUGGACCGGACCCUACAAAUACGGAGCCGACCCUAUAAAUACGGACUGAGCCCUAUAGAUACGGACUGAACCCUAUAAAUACGGAGCAAACCCCAUCAGUACGGAGCGCUGCGGGGCUGCCCCGACGCGACCUGACCCUAUAAAUAUGGAGUGAACCCCAUCAAUCCAGACCCGACCCUACAAAUACGGAGCGAACCCCAUCAGGACAGAGCACUGCGGGGCCGCCCCGACGCGACCCGACCCUAUAAAUCCGGACCGGACCCUAUAAAUACGGACUGAACCCUAUGAAUCCGGACCCGACCCUAUAAAUACGGAGCCGACCCUAUAAAUACGGAGCAAACCCCAUUGGGACGGAGCGCUGCGGGGCCACCCCGACCCGACCCGACCCUAUAAAUCUGGACCGGACCCUAUAAAUACGGAGCCGACCCUAUAAAUACGGAGCGAACCCCAUUGGGACGGAGCGCUGCGGGGCCGCUCCGACCCGACCCUAUAAAUCUGGACCGGACCCUACAAAUACGGAGUCGACCCUAUAAAUACGGAGCGAACCCCAUUGGUACGGAGUGCUGCGGGGCUGUCCCGACCCGACCCAACCCUAUAAAUCCAGACCAGAACCUAUAAAUACAGACCCGACCCUAUAAAUACGGAGUGAACCUUAUAAAUACGGACCAGACCCCAUCAAUCCGGACCCGACCCUAUAAAUCCGGACCUGACCCUAUAAAUACAGAGCCGACCCUAUAAAUACGGAGCAGAUCCUAUAAAUACGGAGCAAACCCCAUCAGCACGGAGCGCUGCGGGGCGCUGAGCCGACCCUAUAAAUACAGACUGCUGAGGGGCUGCCCCGACCCCAUAAAUCCGGACCCGACCCCAUAAAUCCGGACCCGACCCCAUAAACCCAGAGCUCUGUCGGACCCGGGAACGGUGUGAUGGAGCGCCGCCCUUCGGGCUCCGUGGAGGAGCGCGGAGCACUGCUGGAUGUGGGGCCGCCCCACAGCGAUGGGGACAGCGACGGCUCCGAGUGGGAGUGGGAGUGGGAGGAGCACGAAGCCCCGGACCGGCUGUACGCGCACUGUUUGGCUCACAGCCCAAUACCCCAUUAAUUAAUUACUGUUAAUUGCCGUUAAUUGCAGCCCCGGACCGGCUGUACGCGCACUGUUUGGAUCACACCCCAUUAAUUACCGCUAAUUACCGUUAAUUGCCGUUAAUUGCAGCCCCGGACCGGCUGUACGCGCACUGUUUGGCUCACAUGCCGUUAAUUACUGUUAAUUACCGUUAAUUACCGUUAAUUGCAGCCCCGGUCCGGCUGUACGCGCACUGUUUGGCUCACAGCCCAAUACCCCAUUAAUUAAUUACCGUUAAUUACCGCUAAUUGCAGCCCCGGACCGUCUCUACGCGCACUGUUUGGCUCACAGCCCAAUACCCCAUUAAUUAAUUACCGUUAAUUACCGUUAAUUGCAGCCCCGGACCGUCUGUACGCGCACUGUUUGGCUCACACCCCAUUAAUUACCGCUAAUUACCGCUAAUUACCGUUAAUUAAUUGCAGCCCCGGACCGUCUCUACGCGCACUGUUUGGCUCACAGCCCAAUACCCCAUUAAUUACCGUUAAUUACCGUUAAUUACCGUUAAUUGCAGCCCCGGACCGUCUCUACGCGCACUGUUUGGCUCACAGCCCAAUACCCCAUUAAUUACUGUUAAUUAAUUACCGUUAAUUAAUUGCAGCCCCGGACCGUCUCUACGCGCACUGUUUGGCUCACACGCCGUUAAUCCGUUAAUUAAUUACUGUUAAUUACCGUUAAUUGCAGCCCCGGACCGUCUGUACGCGCACUGUUUGGCUCACAUGCCGUUAAUUACCGUUAAUUACUGUUAAUUGCCGUUAAUUGCAGCCCCGGACCGGCUGUACGCGCACUGUUUGGCGCGCACCGUUUGCGCGGCCGCCGCUCCGCUCACGGUGGGGAUUUUCGCUCCGUGCGCCCAUCGGCUGAGCGCCGUUCUGCGGCACCUCGAAGCCUCCCUGCUGUCGCACGCGGCCGCCCUGCAGCGCCGCUCCGCUCUGCGCGGCCGCCCCCCGCCCCGUCCGGCGCGCGGUUGGGCGCUGCUCCACGCCCUCCUCUUCCUGUCCUUCUGCCGCGCGGUCCACCGCCGC